UGGGGAAUCUUCCGCAAUGGGCGAAAGCCUGACGGAGCAAUACCGCGUGAGGGAGGAAUGCCUUUGGGUUGUAAGCCUCUUUUCUCAGGGAAGAAGAUCUGACGGUACCUGAGGAAUAAGUAUCGGCUAACUCCGUGCCAGCAGACGCGGUAAUACGGAGGAUGCAAGCGUUAUCCGGAAUCAUUGGGCGUAAAGCGUCCGCAGGUGGUUUCCAAAGUCUGCUGUUAAAGACUGGAGCUCAACUCCGGAACGGCGGUGGAAACUUGGAAACUAGAGUUCGGUAGGGGUAGCAGGAAUUCCCAGUGUAGCGGUGAAAUGCGUAGAUAUUGGGAAGAACAUCGGUGGCGAAGGCGUGCUACUGGACCGUAACUGACACUCAGGGACGAAAGCUAGGGGAGCGAAAGGGAUUAGAUACCCCUGUAGUCCUAGCUGUAAACGAUGGAAACUAGGUGUGGCU
This 457-nucleotide ribosomal RNA is filed under the name uncultured marine microorganism. RNAcentral's name for it is "bacterial SSU rRNA". It matches the Rfam family "Bacterial small subunit ribosomal RNA", at positions 355 to 827 of the family's 1533-position model. The record is from RNAcentral.